GGUCUCUUCAGCAUAGCAACAGCAGCGUAGCUGAACAUCUUACGGAUGGCCCAGGGCUCCAAAGGCUCGUUUCCUAAGUGAGAGAGAGCCUGGCUGAAGCUGUAUUACCAUUCAUUCUCCAGCCUCCGAAGUCUCAAAGCAUCACUUCCACCAUACUCUAACUGUCAAGACAAACACAAAGGCCCAGAGAAGGGGUCUCACUAUGUUGUCUGGAGUGCUGUGGUGGAGUGGAGUGGCUAUUCACAGAGCCUGUUCUGCUGGGACACAGAAUCACUUGCUCCAUCUCAUACAUUGAUGAUGAUUAAUUUGUAUGUGUACCUUCCAAAAAAGAUGGUUGUGUUUGAAUGGAGGCCUUCUGGACAGGAAAAUUGCAAAGUACAAUUAACAUUUGAGUCUGUCUGAGUCAUGAAGAAAUGGAGAUUACUGAAAAUAAUUCAUUUUGGUAUCUUCUUACAUCCUGAGAGACUAAUCUUUCCAAGUUCAUCUGAGGCUCCUCUUCUCCAUGACAACCUCAUCCAGGGAUUUCUUCCUGUCCUGGUGUUUUAUGACAUAAUCACAUCCUUCCUGAGAUAAUGAGCACACAAUUGCCUGGAUACCUGAAGGAAUGGAGACAGCGGCAGAAAACACUGCAGAGAGGUGGAAACAUCCGUUAAUAUUUUAAAAUCCCAUUACUGCUACCAACAAUAAUAAUGGAUGCAUAGAAAUAGAUCUGGAUUAGCUGAGCUUGAAACAGUCCAUCUCACACACACACAAAAGAAUUUCAGAUACAGUGAACCCACAUGUUGAAGCUUUCUAGUAUAAUAAAAAUUUCAACUGUUCUGUUGAAUCAUCUGCCUGAUUGGAGGCUACAGAAAAGAUGUCAUCUUAGGAGUGCUUGCUCUGAGUGAGGCUCAUCUUCAAAUCUGAAUGACCACAAGGAGAUUUGAUUAUACAUGUGAACACCUCAGAAGGCACAGCCCACCCAGAAGGCAGACAGAAGAAGCUGCCAGGAAGACUGUGAAAUCUUCAUGCCCAAGGAUCCCUAAAAUUAGGAGCAACAACCACUUGGCUCAGACGGUUUAUGGAGGCAAAGGUUUGGAUGGGAUUAGAGAUUUCUAAAUGUGAGUUCGUGUCCUCUGCCAGACCACCUUACUUCCACCAUUCCUCAGCAAAUCAAGAAAAACAGGAGAAAAGACAUGCCUUUCCAUAAGUUAAAUCUAUUCUGUUUUAAUUCUAUAUUAUAUCUGCUGUACAACUUCUUUUGUUUGUAACACCAUAUUGUUGCUAGUAACUGGAAAUUAAUUUUCACAUGCCUCAGCUUAGAAAAAUAAAAAGCAGCCCUGCAUCAAUCCCAA
Molecule: long non-coding RNA, 1334 nt
Filed under: Homo sapiens (human)
Lineage: Eukaryota; Metazoa; Chordata; Mammalia; Primates; Hominidae
Description: long intergenic non-protein coding RNA 635
Source: RNAcentral